Molecule: long non-coding RNA, 1687 nt
Filed under: Macaca fascicularis (crab-eating macaque)
Lineage: Eukaryota; Metazoa; Chordata; Mammalia; Primates; Cercopithecidae
Description: lncRNA (ENSMFAG00000055592.1)
Source: RNAcentral
UUUUUCCUAGAGGUGGAUCUGGGAUUGCUAAUGAAAACAGAGAAAUCAGACUUAGCGCCGACUCCAGUGCCCGCCCCUACAUCUGGAGUAAGAGAAAAGGCCCCCAGCUCCUCCAUAAACGACUCGAAAACCGGCGGUUGUUUAUAAACUUGUGGAUCCGGUAGUUGAGCUCUGCAGCUCGGAGGCCUCCGCGCCGGCUAGGGUAGCGCUAACCUUUGUAGCUUCUCUGCAGGGGCUGGGACUCCCCCAUCGUAUCCUUUCCUCUCUGGUUCACUGUCUCCUCCGGCCCAGGAAGUGCCGGGUCGGUGUGGAACCAGGUAUCCUCUCUGAAUUUCUCUUUCCACUUUUCUUGCCCUCGCCUUCCCUCUGUCCAGAACGAAAUCUUGAAAAGCACAGUGAGCAGCAACGACAAGAAAACCAAAGGCCGGACGGGCUGGCCGCAGCACGUCUGGGCCCUGGAGCUCAAGCAGUGAGGAGGAGGAGGCGAAGGAGGAGGAGGAAGAGAGCGCGAGUGAGCCGGGGCCAAGGCGCCAGAUGCAGACCCAGGACUCCGGAAAAGCCGUCCGCGCUCGGCUCUGAGGACUCCUUGCAUUUGGAAUCAUCCGGUUUAUUUAUGUGCAAUUUCCUUCCCCUCUCUUUGACCCCCUUUGAGGCAUCCGCUCCCCGUCUCCCCCUCCAAAAAAAAAAAUGGAUAUUUGAAGAAAAGCAUUCCAUAUUUUAAUAUGAAGAGGACACUCCCGUGUGGUAAGGGAUCCCGUCGUCUCGUAGAUUCUGUGUGCGUGAAUGUUCCCUCUUGGCUGUGUAGACACCAGCGUUGCCCCCCGCCAACCUAUCCAACCCCUUCCAGAUAAAGACAGUGGGCACUAGUGCGUUUGUGAAGUGUAUCUUUAAUACUUGGCCUUUGGAUAUAAAUAUUCCUGGGGAUUAUAAAGUUUUAUUUCAAAGCGGAAAACAGGGCCGCUAACAUUUCCGUUGGGGUCGGUAUCUAGUGCUGUCCGUUCAUCUGUGGUCGUUCCCUCUUUGAAGAUGUUUCCAACAGCCACUUGUUUUGUGCACUUCCGUCCUCUAAAACUAAAUGGAAUUUAAUUAAUAUUGAAGGUGUAAACGUUGUAAGUAUUCAAUAAACCACUGUGUUGUUUUUUUUUUUUUUUUUUUACAGGAACCCUAAUCUUUUAAUGGUUGAUACCUCAAAAGAGUUUUGAAAACAAAGCUGUUAUACUUGUUUUCAUAAUAUUUAAAAUAUUCAGAAGUAAACUAAAUUAUCAUGAUUGCCUCUAACUUUAUUUUAAAGACUCAGUGGUUCCAACCAGUCAACCUGACCUGCGGUCUACGCAGGAGGAGGAGGUGCUCUUGAAGAGAAGUGUCCUUGUUACAAACCCUACAAAGGGUCUGGGCUCUGUCGGUGUGGUGUCUUUUUCCCUCUUCCGCCAGCUGGAGAACGCUGAGUAUUCUCUAGAAGGAAGAUCUGGGCUGGAGAACCCAGCCCGGCAGUUCGCUCAGAAGCUGUAAAGGUGCUCUUGCGUUCCUGAAAUCAAUCAGAAGCCGUUUCUUGAGGCCGUCAGUUUUUGUUUGGAGAGUGUGUUUCUGGUGGAGGAGUUGUGAGAACCCCGGCAUUAUUGCCUCAACGGGAACUAGUCUGGGUGUUUAAUUCAAACUAUGGGGCUUUCAUCCAAGAAAAAAAAAAAAA